RNAcentral lists this ribosomal RNA (932 nucleotides) under Bacillus cereus. Its description in RNAcentral is "partial 23S ribosomal RNA". It matches the Rfam family "Bacterial large subunit ribosomal RNA", at positions 1980 to 2910 of the family's 2925-position model. The record is from RNAcentral. Lineage: Bacteria; Bacillati; Bacillota; Bacilli; Caryophanales; Bacillaceae.
GUUCCGACCCGCACGAAAGGUGUAACGAUUUGGGCACUGUCUCAACCAGAGACUCGGUGAAAUUAUAGUACCUGUGAAGAUGCAGGUUACCCGCGACAGGACGGAAAGACCCCGUGGAGCUUUACUGUAGCCUGAUAUUGAAUUUUGGUACAGUUUGUACAGGAUAGGCGGGAGCCAUUGAAACCGGAGCGCUAGCUUCGGUGGAGGCGCUGGUGGGAUACCGCCCUGACUGUAUUGAAAUUCUAACCUACGGGUCUUAUCGACCCGGGAGACAGUGUCAGGUGGGCAGUUUGACUGGGGCGGUCGCCUCCUAAAGUGUAACGGAGGCGCCCAAAGGUUCCCUCAGAAUGGUUGGAAAUCAUUCGUAGAGUGCAAAGGCAUAAGGGAGCUUGACUGCGAGACCUACAAGUCGAGCAGGGACGAAAGUCGGGCUUAGUGAUCCGGUGGUUCCGCAUGGAAGGGCCAUCGCUCAACGGAUAAAAGCUACCCCGGGGAUAACAGGCUUAUCUCCCCCAAGAGUCCACAUCGACGGGGAGGUUUGGCACCUCGAUGUCGGCUCAUCGCAUCCUGGGGCUGUAGUCGGUCCCAAGGGUUGGGCUGUUCGCCCAUUAAAGCGGUACGCGAGCUGGGUUCAGAACGUCGUGAGACAGUUCGGUCCCUAUCCGUCGUGGGCGUAGGAAAUUUGAGAGGAGCUGUCCUUAGUACGAGAGGACCGGGAUGGACGCACCGCUGGUGUACCAGUUGUUCUGCCAAGGGCAUAGCUGGGUAGCUAUGUGCGGAAGGGAUAAGUGCUGAAAGCAUCUAAGCAUGAAGCCCCCCUCAAGAUGAGAUUUCCCAUAGCGUAAGCUAGUAAGAUCCCUGAAAGAUGAUCAGGUUGAUAGGUUCGAGGUGGAAGCAUGGUGACAUGUGGAGCUGACGAAUACUAAUAGAUC